GUGCCAGCAGCCGCGGUAAUACGUAGGGCGCGAGCGUUGUCCGGAAUUAUUGGGCGUAAAGAGCUCGUAGGCGGCUGGUUGCGUCUGCUGUGAAAUCCCGGGGCUUAACCCCGGGCGUGCAGUGGAUACGGGCCGGCUGGAGGCAGGCAGGGGAGAAUGGAAUUCCCGGUGUAGCGGUGAAAUGCGCAGAUAUCGGGAGGAACACCGGUGGCGAAGGCGGUUCUCUGGGCCUGUACUGACGCUGAGGAGCGAAAGCGUGGGGAGCGAACAGGAUUAGAUACCCUGGUAGUCC
RNAcentral lists this ribosomal RNA (292 nucleotides) under uncultured bacterium. RNAcentral describes it as "partial 16S ribosomal RNA". It matches the Rfam family "Bacterial small subunit ribosomal RNA", at positions 505 to 796 of the family's 1533-position model. The record is from RNAcentral.